Long non-coding RNA from Colletes gigas, 574 nucleotides. RefSeq lists it as uncharacterized. NCBI's taxonomy places the organism in Eukaryota, Metazoa, Arthropoda, Insecta, Hymenoptera, Colletidae. The transcript has 2 exons. The record is from RefSeq and is a predicted model, not a curated record.
UACUCCUACCUAUAUGUGAUGCGAAUAAAUAAAUUAAAUUUGAUAUGAUUUACGAGUGUCGAAAAUAUUUCUCGUAUUGAGGUGAAGAUAAGAUAAUCACUUAAAUCAGAUCUGUAUAUAAGAACGGUCUCUUCGGAUAUGAAAGUAGUUAAAUUCGAAAACCGUAUUUGAAAGAACCCAUUAAUCACUAUGAAAUAUUUCGCAAUCUUUGCAUUCAUGAUGCUUUGCAUCGCUUCCCUCUUCUCUGGGUCAGCUGCGGAAGUCAAAAUGGUCCCGGAAGACUGUCGCAAGUACGAGGAGUGUAUUAAUAGCAUAUGUAACAUUUAUGAUUGCCGUGAAGGACUCGAAUUUAAUCCUGUGAUUGGACUGUGUGACAUCCCUACCGGCCCCCGUACGGAUUGCAAAGUCCAUACAUUGUACCAAUAACUUACUAAAUGUCUCCAGAGCAAGUUAUUAUCGAAUCAGUGCCGCAUUUUCCAAUGGGAACAGCGAAGAAGUGCAUUUAAUAUUUGUAAAUGUUAAUGUAAAGUUUCAACAAUAUGUAAUAAUCGAAUAAAAUUUGUUGUUAAUGCCA